CCUACGGGGGGCUGCAGUGGGGAAUAUUGGACAAUGGGCGAAAGCCUGAUCCAGCCAUGCCGCGUGUGUGAAGAAGGCCUUCGGGUUGUAAAGCACUUUCAGUGGGGAAGAAAGCCUUGGGGCUAAUACCCUCGAGGAAGGACAUCACCCACAGAAGAAGCACCGGCUAACUCCGUGCCAGCAGCCGCGGUAAUACGGAGGGUGCGAGCGUUAAUCGGAAUUACUGGGCGUAAAGCGCGCGUAGGCGGUCUGAUAAGCCGGUUGUGAAAGCCCCGGGCUCAACCUGGGAACGGCAUCCGGAACUGUCAGGCUAGAGUGCAGGAGAGGAAGGUAGAAUUCCCGGUGUAGCGGUGAAAUGCGUAGAGAUCGGGAGGAAUACCAGUGGCGAAGGCGGUCUUCUGGACUGACACUGACGCUGAGGUGCGAAAGCGUGGGUAGCAAACAGGAUUAGCUACCCCAGUAGUC
This 465-nucleotide ribosomal RNA is filed under the name Vreelandella stevensii. Its description in RNAcentral is "partial 16S ribosomal RNA". It matches the Rfam family "Bacterial small subunit ribosomal RNA", at positions 338 to 795 of the family's 1533-position model. Lineage: Bacteria; Pseudomonadati; Pseudomonadota; Gammaproteobacteria; Oceanospirillales; Halomonadaceae. The record is from RNAcentral.